RNAcentral lists this transfer RNA (82 nucleotides) under Endocarpon pusillum Z07020. It matches the Rfam family "tRNA". Rfam says of the family: Transfer RNA (tRNA) molecules are approximately 80 nucleotides in length. Lineage: Eukaryota; Fungi; Ascomycota; Eurotiomycetes; Verrucariales; Verrucariaceae. The record is from Rfam by way of RNAcentral.
AUCCGAGUGCUGGAAUUGGUAGACAGGAUAAACUUAAAUUUUAUUGAUUUUUAUCAUGUGGGUUCAAGUCCCUCCUCGGGUA